This 253-nucleotide ribosomal RNA is filed under the name uncultured bacterium. RNAcentral's name for it is "partial 16S ribosomal RNA". It matches the Rfam family "Bacterial small subunit ribosomal RNA", at positions 524 to 776 of the family's 1533-position model. The record is from RNAcentral.
UACGUAGGGGGCAAGCGUUGUCCGGAAUCAUUGGGCGUAAAGAGCGUGUAGGCGGCCCGGUAAGUCCGCUGUGAAAGUCCAGGGCUCAACCCUGGGAUGCCGGUGGAUACUGUCGGGCUCGAGUCCGGAAGAGGAGUGUGGAAUUCCUGGUGUAGCGGUGAAAUGCGCAGAUAUCAGGAAGAACACCCGUGGCGAAAGCGGCUCUCUGGAACGGUACUGACGCUGAGACGCGAAAGCGUGGGGAGCGAACAGG